CCUACGGGUGGCUGCAGUGGGGAAUAUUGCACAAUGGGGGAAACCCUGAUGCAGCAACGCCGCGUGAGUGAAGAAGUAUUUCGGUAUGUAAAGCCCUAUCAGCAGGGAAGAUGAUGACGGUAUCUGAGUAAGAAGCACCGGCUAACUACGUGCCAGCAGCCGCGGUAAUACGGAGGGGGCAAGCGUUACUCGGAUUUACUGGGUGUAAAGGGAGCGUAGGCGGGGAGGCAAGUCUGAAGUGAAAGCCUGGGGCUCAACCCCAGGACUGCUUUGGAAACUGCCUGACUGGAGUGCUGGAGAGGCAGGCGGAAUUCCUGGUGUAGCGGUGAAAUGCGUAGAGAUUAGGAAGAACACCAGUGGCGAAGGCGGCUUGCUGGACAGUAACUGACGUUGAGGCUCGAAAGCGUGGGGAGCAAACAGGAUUAGAUACCCUUGUAGUC
RNAcentral lists this ribosomal RNA (440 nucleotides) under uncultured bacterium. Its description in RNAcentral is "partial 16S ribosomal RNA". It matches the Rfam family "Bacterial small subunit ribosomal RNA", at positions 338 to 795 of the family's 1533-position model. The record is from RNAcentral.